Oreochromis aureus is the source of this 849-nucleotide long non-coding RNA. NCBI's taxonomy places the organism in Eukaryota, Metazoa, Chordata, Actinopteri, Cichliformes, Cichlidae. The record is from Ensembl.
GUCACUGGAGGUGGGCCACGCCCCUUUCCGCCAUGACAGUAGGCUAGACACAGGAUACAGCUUCAGCUAUGGCAACGUGAGGGAUCCCAUGUAUCCGAUAUUACUAAACAAAGACGUCAGGCUUGCAUUGCAGCGGUGAGACGAGCGGAUCGAGUUCUGUGCAAUCCCCAGCUUUUUGUUGGUUUGCUCUCCGCAUCUUCUUUCCGGCUUUUAUGCAGCUGCAGAGUCUGAAGGUGUGCCCCGUGCAGAAGUAAUCGAUGAAGAUCUGACAGAAGAACAACAACAAAAUUACAUUGUCAUAGCUGUGGACAGCAGUUGUGUUGGACAAGUGGAGGUUGAGGUACCACCUGUAAAUGUGGACAGUGGUGAUCGGACAGACAGCAUCACAGAAGCUAAAGGGCAGACGAAGCAUUGUGUGUGCAAUGAACAGGGCAGAGCAGAAAUAAACACAACACUGCUUGAUAAGCAGUGUUGGGGAGUAACGGAAUACAUGUACCGCCGUUACGUAUUCAGAAUACAAAAUAUGAGUAACUGUAUUCCGUUACAGUUACCGUUUAAAAAGGUGGUAUUCAGAAUACAGUUACUUUGGUGAAAUAAAUGGAAUACACGGCGGUACUUCCCUGUUUCAUAUUGUCGCGGGUCAGGAUUGUUUGGGUUUGUUUGACAGCUACGUUCUGUUGUUCCAGGCGGCAGCGUUACGGUUGCCAUGGUUACAGGGUGACGCUCUCUCUCUGCGUGUUUCCUGGGUGAGAGAGCGCCUUUGUGGUGUUGUUGUUGUGCUAAGCUAAUAGGCAGACUGCUACAGGCAUAGCUCUAAAGAAUGUAGCAUCAUGGGCAGUGUAGUCCGUG